AUACGACAUCGUUUUCAUCUUCUUCUUCCUCACUCUAUUAUGAAUGAUGUUAUCUUUUUGUUGAGUGUUGAUGCUUCUGGUGAUUGCAAAAAUUGGAAAAUUACGAGAGCUCUCGCCAUUGUUUAUGAACCUAUUGAAAAUAAACAGUAAAACCGCGGUGGUUUACAGUCCAACAGAUAAACCACGCGGUUUUACAGUCCUUUAACACGAGGGUUUUCUUCAACGGGGUACACCUGUUAGGGUUCAUGGGAAUGGACCACGGUGGUGAACCGGGUUUGAUUUUGGGUUCAAUGUUCAUGGUUCGGUGUGGAGAGAAACGAGUGAGAAAAGAGAAAGAAGAUGAAAAUGGCGGAAAUUUAAUGUCUAAUUUACUAUUGCUAAUUUUCUAGGUUUUGGUAGUGUUUGUGAAUUUUGAUAGUGUGUUUGAAGUUUGAACCCUCUAUUUUGAUAGUGUUUUUGAGUGUUUUUAAUCCCUCUAUUAUUUGUUAAUUUGUUG
This 496-nucleotide long non-coding RNA is filed under the name Trifolium pratense (red clover). RNAcentral describes it as "long non-coding RNA (TPRA_LNC013257)". Lineage: Eukaryota; Viridiplantae; Streptophyta; Magnoliopsida; Fabales; Fabaceae. The record is from RNAcentral.